RNAcentral lists this ribosomal RNA (449 nucleotides) under uncultured bacterium. Its description in RNAcentral is "bacterial SSU rRNA". It matches the Rfam family "Bacterial small subunit ribosomal RNA", at positions 330 to 793 of the family's 1533-position model. The record is from RNAcentral.
UCCAGACUCCUACGGGAGGCAGCAGUCGGGAAUAUUGCGCAAUGGAGGAAACUCUGACGCAGUGACGCCGCGUAUAGGAAGAAGGUUUUCGGAUUGUAAACUAUUGUCGUUAGGGAAGAUAAAAGACAGUACCUAAGGAGGAAGCUCCGGCUAACUACGUGCCAGCAGCCGCGGUAAUACGUAGGGAGCAAGCGUUAUCCGGAAUGACUGGGCGUAAAGGGUGCGUAGGUGGUUUGACAAGUUGGUAGCGUAACUCCGAGGCUUAACCUCGGCACUACUACCAAAACUGUUGGACUCGAGUGCAGGAGGGGCAAAUGGAAUUCCUAGUGUAGCGGUGGAAUGCGUAGAUAUUAGGAGGAACACCAGUGGCGAAGGCGAUUUGCUGGACUGUAACUGACACUGAGGCACGAAAGCGUGGGGAGCAAACAGGAUUAGAUACCCCAGUAAAG